UGCCAGCAGCCGCGGUAAUACGGAGGGUGCAAGCGUUGUCCGGAUUUAUUGGGUUUAAAGGGUGCGUAGGUGGUUUGAUAAGUCAGUGGUGAAAUGUAACAGCUCAACUGUUAAAGUGCCAUUGAUACUGUCAGACUUGAGUAUCGUUGAGGUAGGCGGAAUUUAUGAUGUAGCGGUGAAAUGCAUAGAUAUCAUAAAGAACACCGAUAGCGAAGGCAGCUUACUAAACGAUAACUGACACUGAGGCACGAAAGCGUGGGGAGCGAACAGGAUUAGAUA
Molecule: ribosomal RNA, 279 nt
Filed under: uncultured bacterium
Lineage: Bacteria
Description: partial 16S ribosomal RNA
Rfam family: Bacterial small subunit ribosomal RNA
Source: RNAcentral